ACGUGAGAUAACGGCCCAAAGAGUCGGGUAAAGCGUCUUCUCUUUUUCGGCGGAAUUUUUAAAGAGGGAUGUGGUUACCUUGAGCAGAAAUACCCAAGGCGGCCUGGGCCAUAGGCUGCGGGAACGACUUGGGGGUAAAAGCGCGGCACCGACACCAGCUGUGUGCAGCAGUGGCGGCGGCGGCCGAAGGAGAAAUAGAACAGCGCAGGCAAAAGAAGAAAGGCGCGGGCUGGGUGGGAAGAGGAUUCGGACUCGUCACACUGCAGAGCAGCAGAGCGAGAAAGGAUGAGAAGAGGCAGAGAAGGCGACGGCAGAAGAAAAAAGGAAAAACUGCGGCCGCGAUCAGAGCCUGAAAGUAUGCCUCAGCACUAAUGAUCAUGAUCAGAGACCCCGAGUUCUCUCGUGCUGCUACGCUUCGCAACACAUAGCACAAAUGGAAUAUGUGUUGACACACCCCUCUGAAGUUAAGAUCUUUGAUAUUAAGACCCUGACUUUUUUCCCUUUCAUUCUUCCGAACCCUCUGUGUACUUUGAGCAGCACUGUGGUUGAUUAAUAAAUCAUCAAAUGUGAAAGGAAGAAAGCGACCUUCCUGUGUGGAAAAGCAGGGUAUCUUGCGAGGCUGUAUGAGAGAGUAUUCGGUAGAAUCAGGAGCUGUGGACGCAUUCCUGAUUUUGUUUUUCCUUAUUUUGCUCGGCUAUAUCUUGGCUCUGUCUUUUAUUUCUUCAAAGUUCUGUUCUAUUCAGAACAUUUGAAAACACAGCCAUUCACUAGACCCUCUCUGGUGGAGGAAGAAAAACUAGAGAUGAAUACAAUAUUUGAAACCUUGCUUACAAUCUAGCAGGGGAAAUAAGACAGCAAUACAAAAUAAAUUGUUGGCUGAUACAAAUAAAAUGCUGCAAGGACCAAGUGGAGGGAAGAGAUGAUUGCAGCUAAGUGAGAGAAAGGCUGCUGGGGAAAGGUAAAGAGUGAUUUUGAGAAAAGCCUUUCUAGACAAAGGUGCUUCCUUUUUCACCAAACUCGCCUGUUUGGUGAUUUUGAGAGUAGAUGUUCCAGUGUUCCAGGCAAGGGAAACGGAUGAGAGAAGGCACAGAAGUGGGUGGGUUUAGAGAAUUGUGAAUAGCCUUUCUGGUUCCAGCAUAGGGGCAUGGUUGCAAAUGAGAUUGAAACGGUAGAUUAGGGUGACAUCAAGAAGACAUUGGAGGCUGGGCGCAGUGGCUUACACCUGUAUUCCCAGCACUUUGGGAGGCCGAGGAGGGCGGAUUACCUGAGGUCGGGAAUUCGAGACCAGCCUGACCAACAUGGAGAAAACCCGGCUCUACUAAAACUACAAAAUUAGCUGGGCAUGGUGGCACAUGGCUGUAAUCCAGCUACUCAGGAAGCUGAGGCAGGAGAAUCUCUAGAACCUGGGAGGCGGAAGUUGCAGUGAGCCGAGAUCACACCAUUGCACUCUCCAGUCUGGGCAACAAGAGUGAAACUGCGUCUCAAAAAAAAAAAAAAAAACAAAACAAAAAAUUGGAACUUGGACUUUAUUCUGGAACCAUAUAAACAGGAACAUGAUAUGCUCAAAAAUAUGUUUUUUAAAAGAUUACUCCAGCACCAGUGGGUGGGAUUGAAAAGAGGUAGAAAGUUUGGAAGUGAAGGAAACUCUUACAGCAGUUUUCUGGGGUCUUUUGGUUUACUUAUUUAUUUAUUUUAGUACUAAGGGGGCCGGGCGUGGUUGCUCACUUGGUGGCCUAGUGAUGGUGUGGUGGCCUAGCACUUUGGGAGGCUGAGGCGGACGGAUCACUUGAGGCCAGUAGUUUGAAACCAGUCUGCCCAACAUAGCAAAACCCUGUCUCUGCUAAAACUACAAAAAUUAACCAGGCGUGCUGGUACACGCAUGUAGUCCCAGCUACUUGGGAGGCGGUGGCAGGAGAAUUGCUUGAACCCGGGAGGCAGAGGUUGCAGUGAGCUGAGAUCGCACCACUGCACUCCAGCCUGUGCAACAGAGAUGUACUUUGUCUCAAAUAAUAAUAAUAAUAAUGAAAGUACUAAGGGGAUUCAGAAUGGAUGGGAGGGAAAACGCACAGAGAGAGUAGAGAUAAUCUUGACUUUCAAAGGAGAUGAGAAGGUGUCAAGUGAUUUGGGGAUAUUAAGCUUAUCAACAGGGAGAAUUCUGGAGCCAUAAACAGAGAUAGAAAUAGAAGGACCCUGCCAGGAGCAGUGGCUCACGCCUGUAAUCCCAGCACUUUGGGAGGCUGAGGCAGGCGGGUCACGAAGUCAAGAGAUCAAGACCACCCUGGCCAACAUGACGAAACCCCGUCUCUACUAAAAAUACAAAAAUUAGCUGGGCAUGGUGGCAUGUGCCCUGUAGUCCCAGCUACUUGGGAGGCUGAGGCAGGAGAAUGGCAUGAACCUGGGAGGCGUAGCUUGCAGUGAGCCGAGAUGGUGCCACUGCACUCCAGCCUGG
RNAcentral lists this long non-coding RNA (2449 nucleotides) under Homo sapiens (human). RNAcentral's name for it is "PREDICTED lncRNA (TCONS_00252027)". Lineage: Eukaryota; Metazoa; Chordata; Mammalia; Primates; Hominidae. The record is from RNAcentral.